RNAcentral lists this non-coding RNA (333 nucleotides) under Schistosoma margrebowiei. RNAcentral's name for it is "Eukaryotic large subunit ribosomal RNA". It matches the Rfam family "Eukaryotic large subunit ribosomal RNA", at positions 693 to 954 of the family's 3401-position model. Lineage: Eukaryota; Metazoa; Platyhelminthes; Trematoda; Strigeidida; Schistosomatidae. The record is from Rfam by way of RNAcentral.
UCAGUGUUACGAAACCCAAAGGCAAAGUGAUGGCAAAGGUUCGACUUAUCCGGACUGAGGUGAUAUCCUGUUGUCUUGCUCAUACUUUUCAAGUUUCGAACGGCAGGCGUAUUGCUGACCCAUCUCAUGACAUAUUCAUGUGACAUCGUGUUGUGUGCAUCGUCGGAGUGGAGUAAGGGCGUAUACAUUGAGACCCGAAAGAUGGUGAACCAUGCUUGCAAAAACUGAAGCCAGAGGUAACUCUAGUGGAGGGCCGUAGUGAUUCUCACGCGCAAGUAAAUCGUAUAACGUGAGUAUAUUGGUGAAAGACUAAUCAAAACCUUUAGUGGUUGA